GUCCACGAAGCUCGCUGGUUGCUCCAGAAUGGGUGGGUAGGAGAGAAAAGGCCCUUCCCACAAGGGUGGAGGAAUCCCAGAGCCGCUGAGCUGGGAGAUCUCAGUGCUCACGGGUCUGAUGCGCACAUUGCAGAGUCUGGGAGAACAAAGGCCAGAGAGACGGGGAGGCCGGGCCACGCCUGCCCCGAGCGAGGGUAGGGCAGUGCUGGCCUUUGAGUCCAGGUCUCUUGAUCUGCAAUUCUAGGGCCCUUCUCAUUAUUUCAUCUUUGUCCCUGAACUUGACAAGUAGGUGUCUGUGUAAGGGGAACUUGUCUCUGGGCUUCAGAGAGCCCAGAGCUUAAUUCCUGGCUCCUUGUGACUCCCUCUGCCUCUGCGGAGGAAAAUGUCUCCUUUUCCACUACUUACAAGAGGUGGGCUCUGUGAGAGGCCUCCAAUCUGCCAGCUGCCGACACUUCGCAGAAUGAAAUCAUCCUGCUGAAUUGAUAAAUUCCGGAACUACUUCCAUCUGAGGCCUGGCCGGUCCCCACCUGCUGCACUUGACUGAGGAGGGUUCUGCUCCAGUUCACCUCUCUCAGCUGACGUGGGUGUUCAGCUGAGACGAAUGGGCUAUAUUGCCAUGAAAUUUCCCCAGAAUUUGUGCCAUGCCGCCCCCCAGCCUGCCAGACCACACAGGGGCCUCAGGAUCUGCCUGAACAUCUCAUCGAGGCUCGGUCUGCCUAGAAGACACUUUGGGAAAAAGCGAUUGCUUCUAAAAUCGUUCGCAGUAAAGUGCCUCUGAUUUAUUUUGCUUGAGGAAAGAAAGAAAUGAUCCUGGCCUAUGGCUUUGAGCAGGAAGGUGAUGGGGAGACGGGAGCAGUGGUUCUCAGCAGGCUAUGCAGUAGAAUCACCUGGUGACCCCAUUCCGAUUUAAUCGAUUUGAGGGCCCAGGCAUGGGUAUUUUUCACAGUGCCUUAAAUAGCUUUCCUAAACAGCUCGGGCUGAGAACAGGAUCGGAGGGAAAGGGGGAAAGAGCCUUGAAGUCAGCGGAUGGGAUUCCUUAUGUUUGCUAAGUCAAGAAACUUUCUAGAGAGGGGAAGGACUUGACCGAUGUUCUGUAUAUUGUUGGCAAAUUAAAUUCAAGUUUCAGCUGAGCAAAAAUCUGUGCGUCACCUAGUCUGUGCUGGGUGAGCAGGAAACCAGGAUGUGAGGGGUGGUUUCUCCCAGCCACUCACCCAGCUGUCACAGGAAGCAGAAGAGGGGAAGGGCCAAUCCCAACAGAGAAGUUUGGGGAGGCGGCGCCCAGCUCCCACCAUGGUCCCCUCCACCAUCUCCUCCCGCAUAAUGCUGCAAACCUGAAGGUUGAGUGGCGGUCUCCUUUGAACAGCCUCUCCUUUGAGAGCGAGGAUGGUAUGUAGUUGAUCACAUGGGCUCUGGAAGCAAGCUGCCCAGUUUUAACUCUAGCUCCGGUGCUUCCUAGCUGUGUGACCCAGGGCACAUUUCAUAACCUCUCUGAACUUCAGUUCCCUCAUCUGUAAAAUAGGGAUAAUGAGAGAGUAUGCUCCACAGGGUGGGGAGGGCGAAACAAGUUAGCACGUGCAUAUAAAGUGCUUAAUCCAGUGUCUGGUACCUAAUGUGCUCUCAUUAAAUGUUAGUGGCUGUUAUUAGGCUGGCAGGCUCAACACUCUGCCUCCUGGUUGGAAGGGAAGUUUCUCUGCAAAGCAACUCUGUCCUGCUGAUGCAUAAGCAGUCUUUAAUGCCAGGGCCGCCACCGACCCCCUUGGCUGCCUAUGUACCGUACCCCCAACCGCCUGCUCUCAGAUGCCCCUGGGCCUAGCUCAUCGAGAGCCUGCUCCCGCUACCAUCUGUGCUCAGCUCCCCCUGCAAGCGGAUCCCACCUGUGCCUGGUUCCUGUCUGAGUGCUGGUCCUGCUCUGCCCGCAGACUCACUUGUCACCACCUUAAGUCUGUGUUCUGAAGCACGCUCUUCUGAAUAAUCCAGGGCUGGUGUGUGCGGGGUGACCCGACUUCAGCAGGAAAGAGGCAGAGGCCUCAUGGACUCCCUGUGCCUGAAGAGGGAGGGGCGUGGGUGAGCUGGGAUGCUGCUGGAGUCACUCAGUCAAGGGAACUGCAGUGAGCGACUCGCAGCGAUGGGUGAGGCGUGGCCUCUGAAAAGCAGCAAAGAAAACCACUACAGAGGCCGUGAGAAGCCAGUCCAGGUGUCGGUCAGUGGAGUGACAUCCUUGAGCUGCAAUUUCGGGAAGUCAUCUGGUCACCUGUGCAAGGAUUACGUUUUAAAGGAUGGAAACUGGAUCUUAAAUCAAGUUACAUGUGUGUACGAUGCAGCCACACCAUCUCGAAUCCUGGCGACUAGACAGCCAUGGCAGAGGACACUUAGUGCUUUGUUGGUCGGCCUAGAGUAUACCCUCUCUUCCUGAAUCUGCUCUUUCUCCUCCGACCGUGUGUACAGAAUGCAAAUGACAACAGAUUCUUUGUAGCUCCUCCAAUCAAGAAGUGAAGUCUGCUUCCCUACUCCUUAAACUUGGACUUGACUUGUGACUUGCUUUGACCAAGAGAAUGUGGCAGGAGUGACGUUACGUGGGUUCCAAAUCUAGGCUUCAAGAAACCUUGUAGCAUCUCUUCUUGCUACCCUGGAAUUCUGCUGUCAUGUGAAUCAUAGCCUGGCGAGGCCGUGUGGGGGAGACUGAGACACCCUGGCUGACAGCAUGCUUGCACGUAUGUGAGGCCAUCCUAGACCAUCCAGGCCCAGCCAAGCUGUCAGCUAACUGGUGCUGCGUGAGUCCAGAUGAGCCCAAACUGUUGACGCACAGAAUUGUGAACAAAUAAACUUUGUUUCAAGCUGCUAAGUUUUGGAAUGAUUUGUUAGCUGUUGCAGAGGUGGCUGUUUUAAAAAAAUGUGUGCUCCUCUUCCAUAUUGUGGGCUUGUUGGUUGGAGGUGGCUAUUCAGCAAGGGAUGACCUUUCCCAACUCCCUCUGCACUUGGAUAUGGCCAUGUAACUGGCUCUCGCCAAUGGAGCACAGAUGGAAAUGAUGCAUGACACCCCUGGGCUGAGGCUGUAGAAGUUGACGGGCUUCUUCUCUCUCUUUCCCCUUCUGACGGCU
This is a long non-coding RNA of Equus asinus (donkey), 3098 nucleotides long. Lineage: Eukaryota; Metazoa; Chordata; Mammalia; Perissodactyla; Equidae. The record is from Ensembl.